AAGCAAAAGAGAAAAGAUUAAAACACACACACACACACAAGUGCUUUCACAUAAAAUAAGGGAAAAGCAGGAGACACAGGGCAGGGAUUCUGUGGCUCUUGUUCCAUGGAGCUGAUAAUCACGUUUGCUACUCAGAAGCUAAGAACUACUUAUUGGAUGAAAGAGGGAAAGUUAAGCGUGUCCACAUUCACAGACCUGAAUCUUAGAAGCACACACACUGUCUGGCCCCAGUGAGGCGAGGGAGUCUGGGUGAUGGCCCUGGUCACAUGGUUGUAACAGCCGGAAAGCUUCCAGCCUUUGCUGUGAGCUCCCAGACACGUCAGAUACUGCAGUCACCAGAAAACCUGCUAUCACGAAACAUUUAGGAGACAAUUCUGGAGGAGAUGUAAGAGAAAGAUGCAGGCCCUGGUUGGGAAAAUCCCCUGGAGGAAGGCACGGCAACCCACUCCAGUAUUCUUGCUUGGAGAAUCCAAUGGACAGUGGAGCCUGGCAGGCUACAGUCCAUAGGGUUGCCAAGAGUCGUACGUGACUGAAGCGACUUAGGACACCUGUAAACACAGCAGGCUUUGCUACCAAAAAUCCCUACUGCAAACUGCUAUCGGAUCCUGUAAAUUUUCCUGGAGUGAAACACUGCCGAAGACCAUGCAACCAGAAGAUGGGAGAAAUAGAAUUCAAGCUUAGGAACCCUGACUUCCACAUAUGCUCUCCUAUCCAUCAUAUCUUACCACCCUCCAGAUGGCAUUAUGCUGGUACUGCACUUGAAAUUGGUGCUAUUAUAAUGAUUACUGCACUUCUUUGUUCUCUAACUCUUCUUUAACAAACACGCAUUAUUUGAUCAUCAAAGGGAGAAAAAGCCAUGAUUAAGAGACAGGAAGAAGAGGAAUCAGAAAGGAAAUAGACUACCAGGAAAUAAUUUAGGAUGGUACAAAUCACCAAGCGGAGGAGUAGCAAGGUUAAAUAUAACAGUUUUAUAGGAGAAAAUUUCCUUAAUUGUGGAAUAGGCAAGAUUCAUUAGCUAGGACACACAAAAUAUAAAUCACAAAAGGAAAAACUGAUAAAUUUAGCCUCAGUAAUAUUAAACAUUUCUACUGGGAACUCCCUGGUGGUCCAGCAGUUAAGACUUCACCUUCCAAUGCAAGGGACGUGGGUUUGAUCCCUGGUGGGGGAGCUAAGACCCCAGAUG
Long non-coding RNA from Bos taurus (domestic cattle), 1183 nucleotides. Lineage: Eukaryota; Metazoa; Chordata; Mammalia; Artiodactyla; Bovidae. The record is from Ensembl.